Non-coding RNA from Camellia sinensis, 332 nucleotides. The record is from RefSeq and is a predicted model, not a curated record. Lineage: Eukaryota; Viridiplantae; Streptophyta; Magnoliopsida; Ericales; Theaceae.
UCAAGUAGUAUUCUCUAUUUUGAGAGCAGUUACACAAAGGUUUUAUUUUGCAAUUUAUGUGGUUAUGUUGGAGCUUUCAUUUAGUUUCAUGUUAUAAAUGGGCAUUUUUAGGAACUCAGUGCAAUUGUUCCUGUACGAGAAAAGCAAGCAAUUGUGAAAACCGCAGUCAAUAAGUAUGGAUUAGCAGAGGACACGUCAAGAACUGGGGGAUCAGUCAAUGUAAAAGAAGUUUCAUGUAAUGAAUUAUUCAGCCCAUCUGCAAUUUACAUUGCCGCUGCUCAUGCAUUGAAGCCGACUUACUCAUGAUCAGAGACCUCUUCGACCGUUACUCC